The submitters of this non-coding RNA (32 nucleotides) gave its source as unclassified sequences. The record is from Rfam.
CUAUGACUUAAUUUUAGUCAUGGCGAAAGGAG